UACGGAGGGGGCUAGCGUUGUUCGGAAUUACUGGGCGUAAAGCGCACGUAGGCGGAUAUUUAAGUCAGGGGUGAAAUCCCGGGGCUCAACCCCGGAACUGCCUUUAAGACUGCAUCGCUGGAAUCCGGGAGAGGUGAGUGGAAUUCCGAGUGUAGAGGUGAAAUUCGUAGAUAUUCGGAAGAACACCAGUGGCGAAGGCGGCUCACUGGACCGGUAUUGACGCUGAUGUGCGAAAGCGUGGGGAGCAAACAGG
Molecule: ribosomal RNA, 253 nt
Filed under: uncultured bacterium
Lineage: Bacteria
Description: partial 16S ribosomal RNA
Rfam family: Bacterial small subunit ribosomal RNA
Source: RNAcentral